GUGCUCGCUUGGCAGCACAUAUACUAAAAUUGGAACAAUAGAGAAAAUUAGCAUAGCCCCUGCACAAGGAUGACACAAAUUUGUGAAGCAUUCCAUAUUAAA
Suncus etruscus (white-toothed pygmy shrew) is the source of this 102-nucleotide small nuclear RNA. The record is from RefSeq and is a predicted model, not a curated record. NCBI's taxonomy places the organism in Eukaryota, Metazoa, Chordata, Mammalia, Eulipotyphla, Soricidae.